AGAGUUUGAUCCUGGCUCAGGAUGAACGCUGGCGGCGUGCCUAAUACAUGCAAGUCGAGCGAACAGAUAAGGAGCUUGCUCCUUUGAAGUUAGCGGCGGACGGGUGAGUAACACGUGGGUAACCUACCUAUAAGACUGGGAUAACUUCGGGAAACCGGAGCUAAUACCGGAUAACAUUUAGAACCGCAUGGUUCUAAAGUGAAAGAUGGUUUUGCUAUCACUUAUAGAUGGACCCGCGCCGUAUUAGCUAGUUGGUAAGGUAACGGCUUACCAAGGCGACGAUACGUAGCCGACCUGAGAGGGUGAUCGGCCACACUGGAACUGAGACACGGUCCAGACUCCUACGGGAGGCAGCAGUAGGGAAUCUUCCGCAAUGGGCGAAAGCCUGACGGAGCAACGCCGCGUGAGUGAUGAAGGUUUCGGCUCGUAAAACUCUGUUAUUAGGGAAGAACAAAUGUGUAAGUAACUGUGCACAUCUUGACGGUACCUAAUCAGAAAGCCACGGCUAACUACGUG
RNAcentral lists this ribosomal RNA (516 nucleotides) under uncultured Staphylococcus sp. RNAcentral's name for it is "bacterial SSU rRNA". It matches the Rfam family "Bacterial small subunit ribosomal RNA", at positions 8 to 507 of the family's 1533-position model. The record is from RNAcentral. Lineage: Bacteria; Bacillati; Bacillota; Bacilli; Caryophanales; Staphylococcaceae.